GUUCGAUUCUGGCUCAGGAUGAACGCUGGCGGCGUGCUUAACACAUGCAAGUCGAACGAAGCUAAGGGAGCUUGCUCCCAAAGCUUAGUGGCGGACGGGUGAGUAACGCGUGGGUAACCUGCCCUAUAGAGGGGGAUAACGUUCGGAAACGAACGCUAAUACCGCAUAAACCAUAAGGAGCUGCAUGGCUCUGAUGGCAAAGAUUUAUCGCUAUAGGAUGGACCUGCGUUGGAUUAGCUAGUUGGUGAGAUAACAGCUCACCAAGGCGACGAUCCAUAGCCGGCCUGAGAGGGUGAACGGCCACAUUGGGACUGAGACACGGCCCAAACUCCUACGGGAGGCAGCAGUGGGGAAUAUUGCACAAUGGGCGCAAGCCUGAUGCAGCGACGCCGCGUGAAGGAAGAAGGUCUUCGGAUUGUAAACUUCUAUCAGCAGGGAAGAAUAAAUGACGGUACCUGACUAAGAAGCCCCGGCUAACUACGUGCCAGCCGCCGC
RNAcentral lists this ribosomal RNA (495 nucleotides) under uncultured bacterium. RNAcentral describes it as "bacterial SSU rRNA". It matches the Rfam family "Bacterial small subunit ribosomal RNA", at positions 11 to 518 of the family's 1533-position model. The record is from RNAcentral.